AUGGAUACAAGUACAACGACAAGGGAGUUCACACUCGAGUUCUUGGAACAAAUUACAGAUAAUUUUUCUGAAAAGCACGUCAUCGGUCGUGGUGGGUAUGGAGUAGUUUACAAGGGAGUACUGGAAAAUGGGGAAGAGAUCGCUCUCAAAAAGCUUCAUCACGUGUCGGGGCUUGAUGACACACAAUUUAUGAAUGAGUUUAAUCACCUUAUGAGGGCCCAACAUCCAAAUAUUACCCGGUUGGUUGGUUACUGCUAUUAUACAGGACAUCAACGCAUAAAGUUCAAUGGUGACUAUGUGUUUUCCUUUGUGGAUGAAAGAGUUCUCUGCUUUGAAUACUUGGAGGGUGGAAGCCUUGACAAGCAUAUUUCUGGUAGGAUUGAUGCUCUCACCGUUUUUGCAUAUGAAUCAUGCGGACUUGAUUGGCAUACAUGUUUCAACAUUAUUAAGGGAGUUUGUGAGGGCCUAAAUUAUCUUCAUAAUGGCUCCAAUGUUCCUAUUUACCAUCUUGAUUUGAAACCCGCAAAUAUAUUAUUAGACAAGAACAUGGUCCCGAAAAUUGGCGAUUUUGGUUUGUCAAGACUCUUCCCUUCAACACAAACACAUGUCACAAUCAAGAUUAUAGGAACACCGGGAUACAUGCCACCAGAAUACAUCGAGAGACACGAAAUCACGUCAAAGUAUGACGUAUUCAGUUUGGGUGUUAUAAUCGUGCGGAUGAUGGCAGGGGAUGAGGGCUACUCCAGAUAUGCACAUAUGUCUUUGCAAGAGUUUCUUGAGCAUGUAUAUGAAAAGUGGGAAAAGCGGUUGCAGGAAAAAUUGCCGUCGCGCAUAUCUGAACAAAUUACGACAUGCAUCGAAUUAGCAUUAAGGUGUUUGGAAGUUCGCCGAGAGGAAAGGCCAACAAUAGCCGAGAUUGUCGAUGAGCUGAAUAAGGUUGAUACCGGAGAAAGUUCACAUACAGGCCAGGACUGCCAGGUCGCCAGGAACCAAAACACAAACUCAGAGCGACGCGGCAGAAUUGUAUUCUAUACCACCAACAGGCCCCCAGUACCAUUCGACAUGUUUUCCUGUGGUUUCUCCUCGUCACCCAUCGAUGAUGAGCUUCACCUCACCGACGGUGUGUCCUGCAACUACAACGGCUGCCCCGUCCCACCCGCCGCCCUAAAGGCCCUCUUCAAGAGACCGAAGCUGGCAGACGUGGGUGGCGUUAUUGAUGCAGACAUCGAUGCUGGGCACGUCUCCGGCCUUGUCUUUGUCUCCGAGAGGGACGACGGCCUCGAGACGCUCUACAUCGCCAUACGGUUCAGUGCCGACAGCAAGGUCAAAGUAUUCUCCCUCGCUGAUAUCUUUGGCGCCGCUGACUUUAGUGGCGUUCGUCUGGAGGACAGUGGCUGCUUUGGCGGCGGCUACAGUGUGGGGUCUCGCACCGUCGAUCACUGUCUCAUCUACAUCUCCACCAAGGAGCCCGUGCAGCAAGGCCGCAGCCCCUGGACUGUCGUGUACAAAACCAACCUUGCAACAGGCAAGACAGAGCGCCUCACUCCACAAGGGGUAUUUGAUUUGAGCCCCGCGGUGUCGCCGUCGGGUAAGGCAGUAGCAGUGGCGUCGUUUGAAGGCAAGAGUUGGAAUGGCGACGUCGAGAAACUCAACGUUAACACUAACAUCUACGUGAUGAACGUGGGUAGUGAGGAGUGUGAGGGCCUAGGGCGGAAGCUACUCAUCGAGAACGGUGGCUGGCCAUCCUGGGGCAGCAACGACAUCAUCUUCUUCCAUCGACGCACCAACAUAACUGGCAUUUCCUUGAGGAGCACAGCUGAAACAUAUUGGGGUGUGUUCCGGCACAACAUCAGUACCAAGGUGACUAUCCAGGUGACUCCUGAGGAGUUGGACGCCGUGACUCCAGCAGCCAUCAGCGAGACCAAGGUAGCGGUGGCGACCAUCCGCAAGAAGACAAUGCGCAGCGACGGCAGUGUGGAGGCGCCGUACCGGCACAUCGAGAUUUUCGACACUAAUGCCCCAGGGCUGCCACCGAUACAGAUCACCCAGAAGACGAACCCAGAAAGCCACCACUACAACCCCUUUGUGCUGGACGGUGGGUUGCGCAUUGGAUACCACCGCUGCAGGCUCCUGCAGCAUGGGUAUGGCGACCAGAUCGCUUCCAACUUGCACAGGCUGCAGUCCCCUGUGAGGGAUGUUGGUUUGUUUCGGGCGUGUGGCCUGUUCCCAUCCAUCUCAGAAGACGGCUCCAAGCUUGCCUUCGUGGACAGUGAGUUCAAGAAGGUGUCGGUAGUCGACAGCAAAGGGCUACGCAUCGUGUGCAUGGCGAGGGGCACGAACCGCGUCUUCUCCCCUGUGUGGAACCAGAACCCUGACAAGGAUGUCCUUUACUUCUGCAUUGGCCAUUCCUUGAGCUCCGACGAGGCGCUGGAGAUCUACUCCAUCAGCAACGCCUCUGGUGAGCCAGAGCAGCAACAGGUCCAAAGGCUCACCUAUGGAGGGUUCAACAACGCGUCACUGUCGAGUAGCCCGGACGGGAAUAAAUUCGUCUUCCAGUCGACGAGGGAUUUUUGUAAAGAUAAUUCACUGUCCACGAGGGAUUUUUUUCCGACAAAAAAGGAUCCAACUUAUGGGAGUGAUCCUUCUUUUGGGGAAGAAAGCUCUUGGCAGCCAUCGCAAAGAAGGAAAAAGGAAAAAAAUUCGCACCAGGACCAGGAGGAGAUUGAUGGAACCAAGGAAUAUCACAAGAACCUAUACAUAAUGCUGAACUCAGACGUCCAGCCUGGACUCAGAUCCGAGGAAGGUUGGGUGAUGCGGCUGACGAGAGGCCCAUGGACAGAUACCCACUGCCAGUGGUCGCCGAAAGGGGACUGGAUUGUCUUCUCAUCGUCACGCGGCAGAGAGCUGGACAGCAGCCUUGACCAGGGGCAUUACUCCUUGUACCUGGUGAAGCCCAGCGACCCGACCGUGGUGAUAAGGGUUAUGGGCAGCGGGGCCCAUCUCGGAGGCCACCUAAACCACCCAGUGUUCAGCCCGGACGGGAGGAGCAUCGCCGUGACUGCGGGCCCUGCCACUGUGUCAGUUGAGCCGAUCUCGCUGCCGCAGUUCACGCAUGGGUUGCGGUCUCACAGUGGUGACAUCUUCGUGGUGGACAUCAACGACCCAGACAGCAAGAAGCAGAAGGAGGACGUGAUAAAAGGGUUCCGCCGGAUCACGCACAGCAGGUACGAGUGUGGGACGCCGGCGUGGACUCGGAUCUUGGCCGCUGCGACAGAGCCAAACGUGGAGUGGUUGUCGUAUGUCCGCGCUGCGACAGAGCCAAACGUGGAGUCGAACAUGUUGCUGGAUAUGGACAAGCAAUGGAGGGAAUGCUGGCGAAAACUGCAAGAACUGGAAGAAUUAAUAUUGUACAAUGGUCACUUCGUCCCGUAA
RNAcentral lists this ribosomal RNA (3432 nucleotides) under Triticum aestivum (bread wheat). RNAcentral describes it as "partial small subunit ribosomal RNA". The record is from RNAcentral. Lineage: Eukaryota; Viridiplantae; Streptophyta; Magnoliopsida; Poales; Poaceae.